RNAcentral lists this ribosomal RNA (493 nucleotides) under uncultured bacterium. RNAcentral's name for it is "partial 16S ribosomal RNA". It matches the Rfam family "Bacterial small subunit ribosomal RNA", at positions 30 to 523 of the family's 1533-position model. The record is from RNAcentral.
AUUGAACGCUGGCGGCAUGCUUUACACAUGCAAGUCGAACGGUAACAGGUUAAGCUGACGAGUGGCGAACGGGUGAGUAAUGCAUCGGAACGUGCCCGAUCGUGGGGGAUAACGCAGCGAAAGCUGCGCUAAUACCGCAUACGAUCUGAGGAUGAAAGCGGGGGACCGUAAGGCCUCGCGCGAUCGGAGCGGCCGAUGUCAGAUUAGGUAGUUGGUGGGGUAAAGGCUCACCAAGCCGACGAUCUGUAGCUGGUCUGAGAGGACGACCAGCCACCCUGGGACUGGGACACGGCCCAGACUCCUACGGGAGGCAGCAGUGGGGAAUUUUGGACAAUGGGCGCAAGCCUGAUCCAGCAAUGCCGCGUGCAGGAAGAAGGCCUUCGGGUUGUAAACUGCUUUUGUACGGAGCGAAAAGGCUCUCUCUAAUACAGGGGGCUCAUGACGGUACCGUAAGAAUAAGCACCGGCUAACUACGUGCCAGCCGCCGCCGUAA